RNAcentral lists this long non-coding RNA (1433 nucleotides) under Homo sapiens (human). Its description in RNAcentral is "HSALNT0379036". The record is from RNAcentral. Lineage: Eukaryota; Metazoa; Chordata; Mammalia; Primates; Hominidae.
UUUUUUGGGGAUUGUGGCUCGAGCUGUGAACAGUCGGUGCUCCUUCUCUGAAUGAAUUUUCUGGAAAAUCUCCAUUUAAGAUCCAAAAAAAACUAGGGCUCCUUUCUGUCCUCCCCUUCAGUCUUGCUAAGUGGUGCCGCCAGCAGGACCAGAGGAUGACCCUGAGGGCUUCUGUUUCCGAAAGCUUAGCCCCACCCUCCUGCCACCCCAAAGCCCUGCACUCCCCUCUUUGCUCAUGGUCAGCAAGUAGCCCUGACAAGUGUCCCAUUUGUUUGUCAACGUUGGCUGUGAAAAAUCAUGGGGAAGCAAAUUGCUUUUCUGUGGAAGGGGGUCAGGGAUCUGAUGGGAAACCCCAACUCCUGGAAACCAGCAUUGGUGGGGACAUCUUUGAGAAAUAAAAAAGGAAAUGCCUGGAAGCCCUGGGGUUGGGGCAGAAAGCCAGUGCCUCAGAGCCAGCCCCGAGAGCUCUCAGGGCGAGGCGGGGAGGAAGCUGCUGUCAGAAACACGCGGCGAGUGUGUGGCCAAAGCACUCCAUCCAACAGGUCCCCACGCAUUCUAAAUAAUUAGGCUGACAUCUGGGAAUGAUUUAUAACCACAGUUUAUUUGAUCCAACAAUAAAAUUCCAGAGUUUGGCAAGGUGAUGAAGGCCGUCGAGGCCGAAAUGUGAACGUGAUAUUGUUAAGCUAAAGAAAAUGCAUCUAUAAAUCACAUUACACAUCCUUAUGGGGAUUGCAGAUUAAUGUGCUCAAGUUGACAGGAUUUUGGACUCCAAAACCAGUUUUACAAAAUGGUCACAAGAAAAUAAAAAUCUAACUAACAAAACAAAUUUGAAGAAAUUGGGUGGGGAUAGGAAGAAAGGGAAACUUAAGGAAGGGCCCACAUCUCUGCAUGUGUGAACUCUGAUUGGGGAGUAAAGCCAAAAGGAGAACAUUUUGGCAAGUUGGAUUAUAAUGAUGAGUAGGGUUUAUUGAGCAUUUACUGUAUGCCAAGCACGAUGGGCCUUUAAGCGGUAUCUCAUUUCAUCCUCACAAUAGCGCAGUGGCGUAAGCAGCACAUUACAGCUGAGGCAACUGAAGCAUAGAGAAGUGAUAUAAUCCCCCAGGUAGCCCCCCUUGACCCUGGUGGAGACAAUAUUCAAACUGAGAGCCCCCGCACUCUCACCUCACAGACGGAGCAGACAGAUCAAAUGGAAAGGCUCCCCCAUCCUGUCCUCUACACCACCUUGCAGCUGGGCCUCAGCAACUGGGCUUUUAAUUUCAGUCUAAUUCAAGUCAGCAGCAUAGGGCAGCUCCUGGGAAAUUGGUUUACACAUGCGGACAAGCCCAGUAGCCCAGAGCUAACCCACUCACCAUCCCUGACCACAGAGGAGCAGAUAAGGAAGCAAGAUUUGUCGGGAUGGAGUCUCGCUCUGUCACCCAGGCUGGAGUGCAGUG